RNAcentral lists this ribosomal RNA (253 nucleotides) under uncultured bacterium. Its description in RNAcentral is "partial 16S ribosomal RNA". It matches the Rfam family "Bacterial small subunit ribosomal RNA", at positions 524 to 776 of the family's 1533-position model. The record is from RNAcentral.
UACGAAGGGUGCAAGCGUUACUCGGAAUUACUGGGCGUAAAGCGUGCGUAGGUGGUUUGUUAAGUCUGUUGUGAAAGCCCCGGGCUCAACCUGGGAAUGGCAAUGGAUACUGGCAAGCUAGAGUGCGGUAGAGGGUAGUAGAAUUCCCGGUGUAGCGGUGAAAUGCGUAGAGAUCGGGAGGAACACCAGUGGCGAAGGCGGCUACCUGGACCAGCACUGACACUGAGGCACGAAAGCGUGGGGAGCAAACAGG